RNAcentral lists this ribosomal RNA (676 nucleotides) under uncultured Thermoplasmata archaeon. RNAcentral describes it as "bacterial SSU rRNA". It matches the Rfam family "Archaeal small subunit ribosomal RNA", at positions 321 to 999 of the family's 1478-position model. The record is from RNAcentral. Lineage: Archaea; Methanobacteriati; Thermoplasmatota; Thermoplasmata.
CCCUAUGGGGUGCAGCAGGCGCGAAAACUUCACAAUGCGGGCAACCGCGAUGAGGGAACUCCAAGUGUCUUGGCAAUGCUAAGACUGUUUUCUUGUCUAAAAAACAAGGAGAGUAAGGGCUGGGUAAGACUGGUGCCAGCCGCCGCGGUAAUACCAGCAGCUCAAGUGGUGAUCCUUAUUAUUGGGCCUAAAGCGUCCGUAGCCGGUUUAGUAAAUCCUUGGGUAAAUCGUACAGCUUAACUGUGCGACUUCUGGGGAGACUGCUAGACUUGGGACUGGGAGAGGUCGGAGGUACUCCAGGGGUAGGGGUGAAAUCCUGUAAUCCUUGGGGGACCACCAGUGGCGAAGGCGUCCGACUAGAACGGAUCCGACGGUGAGGGACGAAGCCCUGGGGCACAAACCGGAUUAGAUACCCGGGUAGUCCAGGGUGUAAACGCUGCGAGCUUGGUGUUGGGGGUCCUACAUGGGCGCCCAGUGCCGGAGAGAAGUUGUUAAGCUCGCCGCCUGGGGAGUACGAUCGCAAGAUUGAAACUUAAAGGAAUUGGCGGGGGAGCACCGCAACGGGUGGAGCGUGCGGUUCAAUUGGAUUCAACGCCGGAAAACUCACCGGGAGCGACUGUUACAUGAAGGUCAAGCUGAUGACUUUACCUGAUUUUCAGAGAGGUGGUGCAUGGCC